This is a long non-coding RNA of Pseudopipra pipra, 666 nucleotides long. RefSeq lists it as uncharacterized. The transcript is spliced from 2 exons. Lineage: Eukaryota; Metazoa; Chordata; Aves; Passeriformes; Pipridae. The record is from RefSeq and is a predicted model, not a curated record.
UCCUGAAAAGGUUGAAAAAUGCAUAAUUGCAAUUAGCAAUUAAUUUGGCAUGAUGCUUUGCAAGGAUGAGGAGGACGAAUUCAGAGAGUUCACCAGGAUGGACUGGAGAGUAUUUUACAAUAUGGCACAGAUUUUGGAGGAGGAGAAUCUUUUGUUGCUUUGCCACGAAUGACAAAAACCAUCAAGGAAGACAGAGCUAAAGAAAACUUCGGGGAUGACUUAAAAAAAUGGCUUUAAGGAACACACAAACCUGGGAGAUACUCAAUCAUCUCGCUGCCAGCCCUCAGCAGAGACACUGCAAAUCUCUGUCAACACGCUGUCUGCCCGCCAGACUCUUGGAAUAUGACAAAGCAACUCCAGGAUUCUGCUAUUUGCCGCCUCAGACUUGUGAAUCUCCCCAGCUCUGAGUGCCAGUGCCAAGCAGCAUCACUGGCUCGUCUGGAGUUCAGCAGGACAGACAAACUUCAUGGAUUGGAUUUAAAGUCUUUCUGCACCUCAGCACAUUUUUCAAAUGGUUUUGACAUCAUGAAAAUAUUUGGAAAGAACACCCACACACACCCAAAAAAAAAAAGGAAUCUGGAUGGUUUCUCACCUAAAUAACUGUUGGAAGUUUGGUUUAAUAAAAUUUGCUUCAAUGUUUUGCCGUAUGCAUAUUACAUGGGUUAU